Molecule: long non-coding RNA, 368 nt
Organism: Lemur catta (Ring-tailed lemur)
Lineage: Eukaryota; Metazoa; Chordata; Mammalia; Primates; Lemuridae
Exons: 4
Source: RefSeq, a predicted model, not a curated record
CUAGGCUGCGAUAACUCUCACAGGAGCACCUGCUGUGAAGAAUGACGGGGAAAGAAGUCAGAGAAGGUGAUGAUUUCUGACAGCAAGAGAAUAAAGAAAGCAAAUAAACUUUGCUUCACGGAGUAGACUGGGCCAUUCGAAGACCAUCUUUCUGGAAAAGACCAGAGGCAGGUUUGAAAAUCACUAAUGUAUGCAGAAGAGCAUAAAUAUUUAAGAGCAAGAUCUAUGAAGUUGGUCCUGGGUUUGAACCCCAUCUCCACCACUUUCUUGCGCUAUAGGAGGUGGCCAACCAGAAAUCCCCCUGCUUAAAGGAGAAUCCACAAUAAGAAUUAUUUCAUUUGCAGAGGGCUGGAUUGAUUAUAAGGUUA